This 163-nucleotide ribosomal RNA is filed under the name Yushania exilis. RNAcentral describes it as "5.8S ribosomal RNA". It matches the Rfam family "5.8S ribosomal RNA". From Rfam's summary of the family: 5.8S ribosomal RNA (5.8S rRNA) is a component of the large subunit of the eukaryotic ribosome. It is transcribed by RNA polymerase I as part of the 45S precursor that also contains 18S and 28S rRNA. The record is from RNAcentral. Lineage: Eukaryota; Viridiplantae; Streptophyta; Magnoliopsida; Poales; Poaceae. RNAcentral also lists the same sequence under 61 other names.
ACAUGACUCUCGGCAACGGAUAUCUCGGCUCUCGCAUCGAUGAAGAACGUAGCGAAAUGCGAUACCUGGUGUGAAUUGCAGAAUCCCGCGAACCAUCGAGUCUUUGAACGCAAGUUGCGCCCGAGGCCUUUGGGCCGAGGGCACGCCUGCCUGGGCGUCACGC